RNAcentral lists this ribosomal RNA (469 nucleotides) under uncultured bacterium. RNAcentral's name for it is "partial 16S ribosomal RNA". It matches the Rfam family "Bacterial small subunit ribosomal RNA", at positions 28 to 507 of the family's 1533-position model. The record is from RNAcentral.
GACGAACGCUGGCGGCGUGCUUAACACAUGCAAGUCGAACGGAAAGGCCCUGCUCGCAGGGUGCUCGAGUGGCGAACGGGUGAGUAACACGUGGGUGAUCUGCCCCUUACUUUGGGAUAAGCCUGGGAAACUGGGUCUAAUACUGGAUAGGACCAUGCUGUAGGUGGUGUGGUGGAAAGAUUAGUUUCGGUAAGGGAUGAGCUCGCGGCCUAUCAGCUUGUUGGUGGGGUAAUGGCCUACCAAGGCGUCGACGGGUAGCCGGCCUGAGAGGGUGGACGGCCACAUUGGGACUGAGAUACGGCCCAGACUCCUACGGGAGGCAGCAGUGGGGAAUAUUGCACAAUGGGCGCAAGCCUGAUGCAGCGACGCCGCGUGGGGGAUGACGGCCUUCGGGUUGUAAACUCCUUUCAGCCAUGACGAAGCCCUUGUGGUGACGGUAGUGGUAGAAGAAGCACCGGCUAACUACGUG